CCUACGGGCGGCAGCAGUGGGGCAUAUUGCACAAUGGGCGAAAGCCUGACGCAGCCAUGCCGCGUGUAUGAAGAAGGCCUUCGGGUUGUAAACUUCUUUCAGUCGGGAGGAACGUGUCCAGUGUAAUAAACUAAUCAAUUGACGUUACCGGCAGAGGAAGCACCGGCUAACUCCGUGCCAGCAGCCGCGGUAAUACGGAGGGUGCGAGCGUUAAUCGGAAUUACUGGGCGUAAAGCGCUCGUAGGCGGUAGGUAGAGUCAGGGGUGAAAUCCCCGGGCUUAACGUGGGAACUGCAUCUGAUACUGGUCAGCUGGAGUGUGGGAGAGGGGAGUAGAAUUCCAGGUGUAGGGGUGAAAUGCGUAGAUAUGUGGAGGAAUACCGGUGGCGAAGGCGGCUACCUGGCACAAGACUGACGCUGAGGUGCGAAAGCGUGGGGAGCAAACAGGAUUAGAUACCCGAGUAGUC
Molecule: ribosomal RNA, 465 nt
Filed under: uncultured bacterium
Lineage: Bacteria
Description: partial 16S ribosomal RNA
Rfam family: Bacterial small subunit ribosomal RNA
Source: RNAcentral